AACGGGUGAGGAACACGUGAGGAAUCUGCCUUUCACUUCGGGAUAACUCCGGGAAACCGGGGCUAAUACCGGAUAUUUUCAACUGGCGGCAUCGCCGGUUGAAGAAAGUUUUUCGGUGAAAGAUGACCUCGCGGCCUAUCAGCUUGUUGGUGAGGUAAUGGCUCACCAAGGCAACGACGGGUAGCCGGCCUGAGAGGGCGACCGGCCACACUGGGACUGAGACACGGCCCAGACUCCUACGGGAGGCAGCAGUGGGGAAUAUUGGGCAAUGGAGGAAACUCUGACCCAGCGACGCCGCGUGAGGGAUGAAGGCCUUCGGGUUGUAAACCGCUUUCAGUAGGGAAGAAGCGAAAGUGACGGUACCUACAAAAGAAGCACCGGCUAACUAUGUGCCAGCAGCCGCGGUAAUACAUAGGGUGCAAGCGUGUCCGGAAUUAUUGGGCGUAAAGAGCUCGUAGGUCGUUUGUUACGUCGGAUGUGAAAAUCUGAGGCUCAACCUCAGACCUGCAUUCGAUACGGGCAAACUAGAGUUUGGUAGGGGAGACUGGAAUUCCUGGUGUAGCGGUGGAAUGCGCAGAUAUCAGGAGGAACACCAACGGCGAAGCAGGUCUCUGGGCCAAUACUGACACUGAGGAGCGAAAGCGCGGGGAGCGAACAGGAUUAGAUACCCUGGUAGUCCGCGCCGUAAACGGUGGGUACUAGUUGUGGGAACCUUCCACGGUUUCUGCGACGACGCUAACGCAUUAAGUACCCCGCCUGGGGAGUACGAUCGCAAGAUUAAAACUCAAAGGAAUUGACGGGGCCCCGCACAAGCAGCGGAGCAUGCGGCUCAAUUCGAUGCAACGCGAAGAACCUUACCAAGGCUUGACAUAUAGCGAAAAGUGGCAGAGAUGUCAUGUCCGCAAGGGCGCUAUACAGGUGGUGCAUGGUUGUCGUCAGCUCGUGUCGUGAGAUGUUGGGUUAAGUCCCGCAACGAGCGCAACCCUCGUUCUGUGUUACCAGCAUUUAGUUGGGGACUCACAGGAGACUGCCGGGGUUAACUCGGAGGAAGGUGGGGAUGACGUCAAAUCCUCAUGCCCCUUAUGUCUUGGGCUGCACGCAUGCUACAAUGGCCGGUACAGAGGGCUGCGAAACCGUAAGGUGGAGCGAAUCCCAAAAAGCCGUCUCAGUUCAGAUUGAGUCUAAAC
Molecule: ribosomal RNA, 1187 nt
Filed under: uncultured bacterium
Lineage: Bacteria
Description: bacterial SSU rRNA
Rfam family: Bacterial small subunit ribosomal RNA
Source: RNAcentral